GCAGUGGUGGUUCAGAGGUAGAAUUCUCACCUUCCAUGUGGGAGACUUGGGUUCAAUUCACAGCCAAUGCA
Molecule: transfer RNA, 71 nt
Filed under: Loxodonta africana (African savanna elephant)
Lineage: Eukaryota; Metazoa; Chordata; Mammalia; Proboscidea; Elephantidae
Rfam family: tRNA
About the family: Transfer RNA (tRNA) molecules are approximately 80 nucleotides in length. Their secondary structure includes four short double-helical elements and three loops (D, anti-codon, and T loops). Further hydrogen bonds mediate the characteristic L-shaped molecular structure. tRNAs have two regions of fundamental functional importance: the anti-codon, which is responsible for specific mRNA codon recognition, and the 3' end, to which the tRNAs corresponding amino acid is attached (by aminoacyl-tRNA synthetases). tRNAs cope with the degeneracy of the genetic code in two manners: having more than one tRNA (with a specific anti-codon) for a particular amino acid; and 'wobble' base-pairing, i.e. permitting non-standard base-pairing at the 3rd anti-codon position.
Source: Rfam by way of RNAcentral